RNAcentral lists this transfer RNA (76 nucleotides) under Pseudobacteroides cellulosolvens ATCC 35603 = DSM 2933. Its description in RNAcentral is "tRNA-Met". It matches the Rfam family "tRNA". Rfam says of the family: Transfer RNA (tRNA) molecules are approximately 80 nucleotides in length. The record is from RNAcentral. Lineage: Bacteria; Bacillati; Bacillota; Clostridia; Eubacteriales; Oscillospiraceae.
CGCGGGAUGGAGCAGUCGGUAGCUCGUCGGGCUCAUAACCCGAAGGCCGUUGGUUCAAGUCCAGCUCCCGCAACUA